UUGUGGAGGAGGACGCCGAAGGUGGGGCUGAUGACUGGGGUGAAGUCGUAACAAGGUAGCCGUACCGGAAGGUGCGGCUGGAUCACCUCCUAACAGGGAGACAAAAAAUUGAUUGUGAUGUCUAAGUUUUUUCUCCUAGGCCUCAAUCCUGUCACCUUAGGUCGAUCGGUACCUCAGAUUAAUUAAUUUUAUUUUUAAGUAAGUAAUUGAUUUCAGUUCCUAAACUUGUCUAGGUCACACCCAACAUUGGUUUCUCCUGGGCCAUUAGCUCAGGUGGUUAGAGCGCACCCCUGAUAAGGGUGAGGUCCCUGGUUCAAGUCCAGGAUGGCCCAUUCGUUGUUGGGGGUAUAGCUCAGUUGGUAGAGCGCCUGCUUUGCAAGCAGGAUGUCAGCGGUUCGAGUCCGCUUACCUCCACUGAUCAACUACCUGAUAACUCAAAUUGGAGAUUGUUAUUUGUUAAAUGUGAUUUAGAUGUUGUUCAACUGAAGGAACCUAGCUUCCUAUCACUCCUGAAUUAAUUUGGGCUGAUAAGACGCUGGGCUCACUGAAUGUUCUACGGGACAUUCAGUUUGUUUCAGCAGAACCUUGACAACUGCAUAGGAAAAUCUAGAAAAAUAAAGCAUCUCAUAGAUGCAUAGAAGUUUUUUCAUUUUUAAUGAUUAGAUUUUUAUGUUCAAUUCUUGAGUUAGAGCAAAUUUUCUAUUACUUAAUUCACUUAGAGAUAAGUGAUGACUAAUUAAUUUUAGCUAAGUUUAAUAGAUUAAUGGUCAAGCUACAA
Molecule: unclassified non-coding RNA, 778 nt
Filed under: uncultured Prochlorococcus sp.
Lineage: Bacteria; Bacillati; Cyanobacteriota; Cyanophyceae; Synechococcales; Prochlorococcaceae
Description: partial 16S-23S ribosomal RNA intergenic spacer; may also contain 16S ribosomal RNA and 23S ribosomal RNA
Rfam family: Bacterial small subunit ribosomal RNA (bases 1-93)
Source: RNAcentral